CUCGCUCCUGGCUGUAGAUCUCUCUUCUCUGUAAUUGUCAGGGUUGUUGGAGACCUUAUGCUUCGAAUCCAGCGUAUUCAAGACUUUACUCCCAAGCUUCUGUUAGUCAGAAAGCGGUUACUUGGUUUGGAACCUGAAGGCCCUAUUAUUGACCACAUCACACUGCUAGAGGGUGUGAUUGUGUUAGAAGAGUUCUGUAAGGAGCUGGCGGCAAUCGCAUUUGUAAAAUAUCAUGCUUCCUCCACACCAUAAAUAACAUCUUUCAUGUAACUGGGGGAACAGAACUACUGUGUACAUUUCACCAAAAAAGACUCAGUUCCACCCAGCCACAAGAGGAUAAAAAGCCUUUUUAAACGCAGUAUUGCUGUAAACUGGACAGAACCAUUAAGAACCUAUUGAGUGGACAUUCUUGGUGAAAUGUUGUAUAAUGUUGUUUUCAUUGGCUUUAUCAUAAUGGUUCUAUAUAUACAAUUGCACAUUGUUGAAUCCAGGAUACAAUCAAAGGAACUUCAGGAAAUAAGCAUUUCUAAUGACUGUGAAAAGCUGCAAUAUUUCCAAUGUCAUGACUUUGAUGAUAUUUCUGUUAUAUUAAUGUCCUUUUAGGUAGCAAGGCAUUUUGACAUUCUCUGGGACUCAAAUGCUUGUAUUCUUUUGGAUUAAUAAGUAGC
Molecule: long non-coding RNA, 668 nt
Filed under: Homo sapiens (human)
Lineage: Eukaryota; Metazoa; Chordata; Mammalia; Primates; Hominidae
Description: HSALNT0168470
Source: RNAcentral